RNAcentral lists this ribosomal RNA (397 nucleotides) under uncultured bacterium. RNAcentral's name for it is "partial 16S ribosomal RNA". It matches the Rfam family "Bacterial small subunit ribosomal RNA", at positions 360 to 774 of the family's 1533-position model. The record is from RNAcentral.
AAUUUUCCGCAAUGGGCGAAAGCCUGACGGAGCAACGCCGCGUGAGGGACGAAGGUCUUCGGAUCGUAAACCUUUGUCAAUGAGGACGAUAAUGACGGUACUCGAUGAGGAAGCCCCGGCUACCUACGUGCCAGCAGUCGCGGUAACACGUAGGGGGCGAGCGUUGUCCGGAAUUACUGGGCGUAAAGGGCGCGUAGGCGGCCUAAUAAGUCAAAUGUGAAACCCCUGGGCUUAACCCUGGGCUUGCAUUAGAAACUGUUGGGCUUGAGGGCAGGAGAGGAAAGCGGAAUUCCCAGUGUAGCGGUGAAAUGUGUAGAUAUUGGGAGGAACACCAGUGGCGAAGGCGGCUUUCUGGACUGAACCUGACGCUGAGGCGCGAAAGCCAGGGUAGCGAACG